GACGAACGCUGGCGGCGUGCUUAACACAUGCAAGUCGAACGAUGAAGCCCAGCUUGCUGGGUGGAUUAGUGGCGAACGGGUGAGUAACACGUGAGUAACCUGCCCUUGACUCUGGGAUAAGCGCUGGAAACGGCGUCUAAUACCGGAUACGGCCUGCCCCGGCAUCGGGUGCGGGUGGAAAGUUUUUCGGUCAAGGAUGGACUCGCGGCCUAUCAGCUAGUUGGUGAGGUAAUGGCUCACCAAGGCGACGACGGGUAGCCGGCCUGAGAGGGUGACCGGCCACACUGGGACUGAGACACGGCCCAGACUCCUACGGGAGGCAGCAGUGGGGAAUAUUGCACAAUGGGCGAAAGCCUGAUGCAGCAACGCCGCGUGGGGGAUGACGGCCUUCGGGUUGUAGACCUCUUUUAGUAGGGAAGAAGGGCUUCGGCUUGACGGUACCUGCAGAAAAAGCACCGGCUAACUACGUGCCAGCCGCCGCAGUAA
Molecule: ribosomal RNA, 486 nt
Filed under: uncultured bacterium
Lineage: Bacteria
Description: partial 16S ribosomal RNA
Rfam family: Bacterial small subunit ribosomal RNA
Source: RNAcentral